Molecule: ribosomal RNA, 397 nt
Filed under: uncultured bacterium
Lineage: Bacteria
Description: bacterial SSU rRNA
Rfam family: Bacterial small subunit ribosomal RNA
Source: RNAcentral
UAUUGCACAAUGGGGGAAACCCUGAUGCAGCGACGCCGCGUGGGUGAAGAAGUACUUCGGUACGUAAAGCCCUAUCAGCAGGGAAGAAAAUGACGGUACCUGAUUAAGAAGCCCCGGCUAACUACGUGCCAGCAGCCGCGGUAAUACGUAGGGGGCAAGCGUUAUCCGGAUUUACUGGGUGUAAAGGGAGCGUAGACGGCAUUGCAAGUCCGGAGUGAAAGCCCACGGCCCAACCGUGGGACUGCUCUGGAAACUGUAGAGCUGGAGUGCGGGAGGGGCAGGCGGAAUUCCUAGUGUAGCGGUGAAAUGCGUAGAUAUUAGGAGGAACACCGGCGGCGAAGGCGGCCUGCUGGACCGUAACUGACGUUGAGGCUCGAGAGCGUGGGGAGCAAACAGG